RNAcentral lists this ribosomal RNA (203 nucleotides) under uncultured bacterium. RNAcentral's name for it is "partial 16S ribosomal RNA". It matches the Rfam family "Bacterial small subunit ribosomal RNA", at positions 524 to 727 of the family's 1533-position model. The record is from RNAcentral.
UACAGAGGGUGCGAGCGUUGUUCGGAAUCAUUGGGCGUAAAGCGCUUGUAGGCGGCCUGAAAAGUCUCGUGUGAAAUCCCCUGGCUUAACCAGGGAAGUGCGCGAGAAACUUUUGGGCUUGAGUGCCGGAGAGGGUCGCGGAAUCCCGGUGUAGAGGUGAAAUUCGUAGAUAUCGGGAGGAACACCAGUGGCGAAGGCGGCGA